UACGUAAGGGGCAAGCGUUGUUCGGAUUGACUGGGUGUAAAGGGUCUGCAGGCGGUCCUGCAAGUCGGGCGUGAAAUCCGGGGGCUCAACCCCCGAACUGCACUCGAUACUGCGGGACUUGAGUAUCGGAGAGGUGCGCGGAAUUCCUGGUGUAGCGGUGAAAUGCGUAGAUAUCAGGAGGAACACCGGUGGCGAAGGCGGCGCACUGGCCGAAUACUGACGCUCAUGGACGAAGGCGUGGGGAG
RNAcentral lists this ribosomal RNA (245 nucleotides) under uncultured bacterium. RNAcentral describes it as "partial 16S ribosomal RNA". It matches the Rfam family "Bacterial small subunit ribosomal RNA", at positions 524 to 768 of the family's 1533-position model. The record is from RNAcentral.